This 255-nucleotide ribosomal RNA is filed under the name uncultured bacterium. RNAcentral's name for it is "partial 16S ribosomal RNA". It matches the Rfam family "Bacterial small subunit ribosomal RNA", at positions 524 to 776 of the family's 1533-position model. The record is from RNAcentral.
UACGUAGGGGGCGAGCGUUGUCCGGAUUCAUUGGGCGUAAAGAGCUCGUAGGCGGCUUGAUAAGUCGGGUGUGAGACCUCCAGGCUCAACCUGGAGUCGCCACUCGAUACUGUCAUGGCUAGAGUCCGGUAGGGGACCACGGAAUUCCUGGUGUAGCGGUGAAAUGCGCAGAUAUCAGGAGGAACACCGGUGGCGAAGGCGGCAUCCUGGACCAACACUGACGCUGAGUGAGCGAAAGCCAGGGGAGCAAACGGG